Molecule: non-coding RNA, 246 nt
Filed under: Lysinibacillus contaminans
Lineage: Bacteria; Bacillati; Bacillota; Bacilli; Caryophanales; Bacillaceae
Description: T-box sequence
Rfam family: T-box leader
About the family: Uncharged tRNA acts as the effector for transcription antitermination of genes in the T-box leader family.
Source: RNAcentral
GAAAAUAUAGUGACGGAGACACACUAGUCGCAAGGAAAUCCAAAGAGAGCUGAUGGUUGGUGUAAAUCAGUGAUUUCUACGAUGUAGUUCCACUCCCGAAUAGAUAAGCUGAAAAAUUCCCAAGUAUGCUUGUCCGUCACAUGCACGUUACGCAUAUAGCCAAGACUGUACUGAAUUAUUUUAUUUUUCGGGCAGUGAUUAAGGGUGGUACCGCGAACCAAGAUUAUUUAGCCUUUCGCCCCUUAC